RNAcentral lists this ribosomal RNA (1173 nucleotides) under Salmonella enterica subsp. enterica. RNAcentral's name for it is "bacterial LSU rRNA". It matches the Rfam family "Bacterial large subunit ribosomal RNA", at positions 1 to 1211 of the family's 2925-position model. The record is from RNAcentral. Lineage: Bacteria; Pseudomonadati; Pseudomonadota; Gammaproteobacteria; Enterobacterales; Enterobacteriaceae.
GGGUUGUGAGGUUAAGCGACUAAGCGUACACGGUGGAUGCCCUGGCAGUCAGAGGCGAUGAAGGGCGUGCUAAUCUGCGAUAAGCGCCGGUAAGGUGAUAUGAACCGUUAUAACCGGCGAUACCCGAAUGGGGAAACCCAGUGUGACUCGUCACACUAUCAUUAACUGAAUCCAUAGGUUAAUGAGGCGAACCGGGGGAACUGAAACAUCUAAGUACCCCGAGGAAAAGAAAUCAACCGAGAUUCCCCCAGUAGCGGCGAGCGAACGGGGAGGAGCCCAGAGCCUGAAUCAGCAUGUGUGUUAGUGGAAGCGUCUGGAAAGGCGCGCGAUACAGGGUGACAGCCCCGUACACAAAAGCGCAUGUGCUGUGAGCUCGAUGAGUAGGGCGGGACACGUGGUAUCCUGUCUGAAUAUGGGGGGACCAUCCUCCAAGGCUAAAUACUCCUGACUGACCGAUAGUGAACCAGUACCGUGAGGGAAAGGCGAAAAGAACCCCGGCGAGGGGAGUGAAAAAGAACCUGAAACCGUGUACGUACAAGCAGUGGGAGCACCCUGUGUGACUGCGUACCUUUUGUAUAAUGGGUCAGCGACUUAUAUUCUGUAGCAAGGUUAACCGAAUAGGGGAGCCGGAGGGAAACCGAGUCUUAAUUGGGCGUUAAGUUGCAGGGUAUAGACCCGAAACCCGGUGAUCUAGCCAUGGGCAGGUUGAAGGUUGGGUAACACUAACUGGAGGACCGAACCGACUAAUGUUGAAAAAUUAGCGGAUGACCUGUGGCUGGGGGUGAAAGGCCAAUCAAACCGGGAGAUAGCUGGUUCUCCCCGAAAGCUAUUUAGGUAGCGCCUCGUGAAUUCAUCUCCGGGGGUAGAGCACUGUUUCGGCUAGGGGGCCAUCCCGGCUUACCAACCCGAUGCAAACUGCGAAUACCGGAGAAUGUUAUCACGGGAGACACACGGCGGGUGCUAACGUCCGUCGUGAAGAGGGAAACAACCCAGACCGCCAGCUAAGGUCCCAAAGUCAUGGUUAAGUGGGAAACGAUGUGGGAAGGCCCAGACAGCCAGGAUGUUGGCUUAGAAGCAGCCAUCAUUUAAAGAAAGCGUAAUAGCUCACUGGUCGAGUCGGCCUGCGCGGAAGAUGUAACGGGGCUAAACCAUGCACCGAAGCUGCGGCAGCGA